RNAcentral lists this small RNA (1293 nucleotides) under Ralstonia solanacearum. RNAcentral's name for it is "bacterial LSU rRNA". The stretch from base 374 to 1293 matches the Rfam family "Bacterial large subunit ribosomal RNA", at positions 1 to 966 of the family's 2925-position model. Lineage: Bacteria; Pseudomonadati; Pseudomonadota; Betaproteobacteria; Burkholderiales; Burkholderiaceae. The record is from RNAcentral.
CCCACCAAGUUACGGGCGGCGGAGAGCGAUCUUGCCGUGAACUGGGGGAUUAGCUCAGCUGGGAGAGCACCUGCUUUGCAAGCAGGGGGUCGUCGGUUCGAUCCCGUCAUCCUCCACCAACACCUUGUGGUAGCCAAACGCAAGCAUCGAGAGAUCGGUGUUUGCGUUUGGCAUUGCCAAGACGAGUAGUAACUCGGCUGUUCUUUAACAAUAUGGAAUGUAGUAAAGGUGUCGCGGCGCGUUGAUGAGGCGCGCAAUUUAAACGCGACACUGGGUUGUGAUUGUAUCAACCAGUAUUACGAGUGAUCGAAAGACCGCUUGGAAUACGGCACAACGCGAGAACUCAGCCUAUAGCGAGACAUACUCGUUAUAGGGUCAAGCGAAUAAGUGCAUGUGGUGGAUGCCUUGGCGAUCACAGGCGAUGAAGGACGUAGUAGCUUGCGAAAAGCUGCGGGGAGCUGGCAAACGAGCUUUGAUCCGCAGAUGUCCGAAUGGGGAAACCCGGCCCGUAUGGGUCAUCCCUUGCUGAAUACAUAGGCAAGGGAGGCGAACGCAGUGAACUGAAACAUCUAAGUAGCUGCAGGAAAAGAAAUCAACCGAGAUUCCCAAAGUAGUGGCGAGCGAAAUGGGAACAGCCUUGUACUCUUUAGCAGUAUUGUUAGCGGAACGGAAUGGAAAGUCCGGCCAUAGUGGGUGAUAGCCCCGUACGCGAAAACAGUAUUGUGGAACUAGGUGUACGACAAGUAGGGCGGGACACGUGAAAUCCUGUCUGAAGAUGGGGGGACCAUCCUCCAAGGCUAAAUACUCGUGAUCGACCGAUAGUGAACCAGUACCGUGAGGGAAAGGCGAAAAGAACCCCGGGAGGGGAGUGAAAUAGAUCCUGAAACCGCAUGCAUACAAACAGUCGGAGCCUGGAAACGGGUGACGGCGUACCUUUUGUAUAAUGGGUCAGCGACUUACAUUCAGUGGCAAGCUUAACCGAUUAGGGAAGGCGUAGCGAAAGCGAGUCCGAAUAGGGCGUUCAGUCGCUGGGUGUAGACCCGAAACCAAGUGAUCUAUCCAUGGCCAGGUUGAAGGUGCGGUAACACGUACUGGAGGACCGAACCCACUAACGUUGAAAAGUUAGGGGAUGAGCUGUGGAUAGGGGUGAAAGGCUAAACAAACUUGGAAAUAGCUGGUUCUCUCCGAAAACUAUUUAGGUAGUGCCUCGUGUCUCACCUUCGGGGGUAGAGCACUGUCAUGGUUGGGGGGUCUAUUGCUGAUUACCCCGCCAUAGCAAACUCCGAAUACCGA